GAUGAACGCUAGCGGGAGGCCUAACACAUGCAAGCCGAGCGGUAUUGUUUCUUCGGAAAUGAGAGAGCGGCGUACGGGUGCGUAACACGUGUGCAACCUGCCUUUAUCUGGGGGAUAGCCUUUCGAAAGGACGAUUAAUACUCCAUAAUAUAUUGAACGGCAUCGUUUAAUAUUGAAAGCUCCGGCGGCUACAGAUGGGCACGCCCAAGAUUAGCUAGUUGGUGAGGUAACGGCUCACCAAGGCGAUGAUCUUUAGGGGGCCUGAGAGGGUUAUCCCACACACUGGGACUGAGACACGGACCAGACUCGUACUGGAGGCAGCGGUAAGGAAUAUUGGGCAAUGGGUGCAAGCCUGAACCAGCCAUCCCGCGUGAAGGACGACUGCCCUAUGGGUUGUAAACUUCUUUUGUAUAGGGAUAAACCUACCCUCGAGAGGGUAGCUGAAGGUACUAUACGAAUAAGCACCGGCUAACUCCGUG
This 479-nucleotide ribosomal RNA is filed under the name uncultured bacterium. RNAcentral's name for it is "partial 16S ribosomal RNA". It matches the Rfam family "Bacterial small subunit ribosomal RNA", at positions 28 to 507 of the family's 1533-position model. The record is from RNAcentral.